Molecule: ribosomal RNA, 722 nt
Filed under: Fusarium sp. ES10
Lineage: Eukaryota; Fungi; Ascomycota; Sordariomycetes; Hypocreales; Nectriaceae
Description: LSU rRNA
Rfam family: Eukaryotic large subunit ribosomal RNA
Source: RNAcentral
GAGUGAAGCGGCAACAGCUCAAAUUUGAAAUCUGGGCCCGAGUUGUAAUUUGUAGAGGAUACUUUUGAUGCGGUCCUUCCGAGUUCCCUGGAACGGGACGCCAUAGAGGGUGAGAGCCCCGUCUGGUUGGAUGCCAUCUCUGUAAAGUUCCUUCAACGAGUCGAGUAGUUUGGGAAUGCUGCUCUAAAUGGGAGGUAUAUGUCUUCUAAAGCUAAAUACCGGCCAGAGACCGAUAGCGCACAAGUAGAGUGAUCGAAAGAUGAAAAGCACUUUGAAAAGAGAGUUAAAAAGUACGUGAAAUUGUUGAAAGGGAAGCGUUUAUGACCAGACUUGGGCUUGGAAUCAUCUGGGGUUCUCCCCAGUGCACUUUCCAGUCAGGCCAGCAUCAGUUUUCCCCGGGGGAUAAGGCGGCGGGAAUGUGGCUCUGGGAGUGUUAUAGCCCACCGUAUACCCUGGGGGGGACUGAGGUUCGCGCAUCUGCAAGGAUGCUGGCGUAAUGGUCAUCAACGACCCGUCUUGAAACACGGACCAAGGAGUCGUCUUCGUAUGCGAGUGUUCGGGUGUCAAACCCCUACGCGUAAUGAAAGUGAACGCAGGUGAGAGCGGCGCAUCAUCGACCGAUCCUGAUGUUCUCGGAUGGAUUUGAGUAAGAGCAUACGGGGCCGGACCCGAAAGAAGGUGAACUAUGCCUGUAUAGGGUGAAGCCAGAGGAAACUCUGGUG